This 440-nucleotide ribosomal RNA is filed under the name Chlamydomonas sp. RCC5311. RNAcentral's name for it is "SSU rRNA". It matches the Rfam family "Eukaryotic small subunit ribosomal RNA", at positions 688 to 1131 of the family's 1831-position model. The record is from RNAcentral. Lineage: Eukaryota; Viridiplantae; Chlorophyta; Chlorophyceae; Chlamydomonadales; Chlamydomonadaceae.
GCCUAUCUUUCUGUCGGGGACGGGCUCUUGGGCUUCAUUGUCCGGGACUCGGAGUCGACGUGGUUACUUUGAGUAAAUUAGAGUGUUCAAAGCAAGCGUUCGCUGUGAAUACAUUAGCAUGGAAUAACACGAUAGGACUCUGGCUUAUCUUGUUGGUCUGUAAGACCGGAGUAAUGAUUAAGAGGGACAGUCGGGGGCAUUCGUAUUUCAUUGUCAGAGGUGAAAUUCUUGGAUUUAUGAAAGACGAACUUCUGCGAAAGCAUUUGCCAAGGAUGUUUUCAUUAAUCAAGAACGAAAGUUGGGGGCUCGAAGACGAUUAGAUACCGUCGUAGUCUCAACCAUAAACGAUGCCGACUAGGGAUUGGCAGGUGUUUCGUUGAUGACCCUGCCAGCACCUUAUGAGAAAUCAAAGUUUUUGGGUUCCGGGGGGAGUAUGGUCG